Molecule: ribosomal RNA, 274 nt
Filed under: uncultured bacterium
Lineage: Bacteria
Description: partial 16S ribosomal RNA
Rfam family: Bacterial small subunit ribosomal RNA
Source: RNAcentral
AUACAGAGGGUGCAAGCGUUAAUCGGAAUUACUGGGCGUAAAGCGCGCGUAGGCGGUUUGUUAAGUUGGAUGUGAAAGCCCCGGGCUUAACCUGGGAGGGUCAUUCAAAACUGGCAGACUAGAGUGUGGUAGAGGGUAGUGGAGUUCCUAGUGUAGCGGUGAAAUGCGUAGAGAUUAGGAGGAACACCAGUGGCGAAGGCGACUGCCUGGACCUACACUGACGCUGAGGUGCGAAAGCGUGGGUAGCGAACAGGAUUAGAUACCCUAGUAGUCC